UUACUUUAGUAGCACAUAUACUAAAAUUGUGGUAAUACAGAGAAGAUUUGCAUCAUCCCUGUGCAAUUAACAACACACAAAUUUAUGAAAUAUUCUAUGUUUUG
This 104-nucleotide small nuclear RNA is filed under the name Mandrillus leucophaeus (drill). Lineage: Eukaryota; Metazoa; Chordata; Mammalia; Primates; Cercopithecidae. The record is from RNAcentral.